RNAcentral lists this ribosomal RNA (407 nucleotides) under uncultured bacterium. Its description in RNAcentral is "partial 16S ribosomal RNA". It matches the Rfam family "Bacterial small subunit ribosomal RNA", at positions 30 to 526 of the family's 1533-position model. The record is from RNAcentral.
AUUGAACGCUCGCGGUAGGCAUAACACAUGCAAGUCCAGCGGAGCGGCGGACGGGUCAGUAAUGCCUAGGCAUCUGCCUGGUAGUGGGGGAUAGCGUCCGGAGCCGGGCGCUAAUCACUCAUACUAUAAGAGGAGCCUAGGGUGGAUUAGCUGGUUGGUGGGGUAAAGGCCUACCAAGGCGACGAUCCGUAACUGGUCUGCGAGGAUGAGCAGUCACACUGGAACGGAGACACGGGUCAUACUCCUACGCUAGGCAGCAGUGUGGAAUAUUGGACAAUGGGCGAAAGCCUGAUGCAGCCAUGCGGCGGUUGAGAAGAAGGUCUUCGGAUGGUAAAGGACUUUAAGUUGGGAAGCGGUACCAACAGAAUAAGCACCUGCUAACGUCGUACCAGCAGCCGCGGUAAUAC